CUACGUGCCAGCAGCCGCGGUAAUACGUAGGGUGCGAGCGUUAAUCGGAAUUACUGGGCGUAAAGCGAGCGCAGACGGUUACUUAAGCAGGAUGUGAAAUCCCCGGGCUCAACCUGGGAACUGCGUUCUGAACUGGCAGGCUAGAGUGUGUCAGAGGGGGGUAGAAUUCCACGUGUAGCAGUGAAAUGCGUAGAGAUGUGGAGGAAUACCGAUGGCGAAGGCAGCCCCCUGGGAUAACACUGACGUUCAUGCUCGAAAGCGUGGGUAGCAAACAGGAUUAGAUACCCUGGUAGUCCACGCCCUAAACGAUGUCAAUUAGCUGUUGGGCAACUUGAUUGCUUAGUAGCGUAGCUAACGCGUGAAAUUGACCGCCUGGGGAGUACGGUCGCAAGAUUAAAACUCAAAGGAAUUGACGGGGACCCGCACAAGCGGUGGAUGAUGUGGAUUAAUUCGAUGCAACGCGAAGAACCUUACCUGGUCUUGACAUGUACGGAACUUCCAGAGACGGGAGAGUGCUUCGGGA
Molecule: ribosomal RNA, 523 nt
Filed under: uncultured bacterium
Lineage: Bacteria
Description: bacterial SSU rRNA
Rfam family: Bacterial small subunit ribosomal RNA
Source: RNAcentral